This 326-nucleotide unclassified non-coding RNA is filed under the name uncultured fungus. Its description in RNAcentral is "partial contains small subunit ribosomal RNA, internal transcribed spacer 1, and 5.8S ribosomal RNA". The stretch from base 1 to 73 matches the Rfam family "Eukaryotic small subunit ribosomal RNA", at positions 1759 to 1831 of the family's 1831-position model. The record is from RNAcentral. Lineage: Eukaryota; Fungi.
GCAAACUUGGUCAUUUAGAGGAAGUAAAAGUCGUAACAAGGUUUCCGUAGGUGAACCUGCGGAAGGAUCAUUAAUGAAUUGUAAUCGGGGUUGAUGCUGGCAGCUGCAUGUGCUCGCUUCGAACAAUCUUCAUCCAAACACCUGUGCACCUUUAGAAGAAGGGGGAGGCUAUGUGGGGUCAAUCGUUUGAUUCCUCUUCCCCCCCUUCUUUUUAUUACACACACUGGUUUUACAACAUUGAACGUGAUUGUGCCUGUGAGGCCAUUAACAUUAAUACAACUUUUAACAACGGAUCUCUUGGCUCUCGCAUCGAUGAAGAACGCAGC